RNAcentral lists this ribosomal RNA (929 nucleotides) under uncultured Verrucomicrobiales bacterium. RNAcentral describes it as "bacterial SSU rRNA". It matches the Rfam family "Bacterial small subunit ribosomal RNA", at positions 56 to 957 of the family's 1533-position model. The record is from RNAcentral. Lineage: Bacteria; Pseudomonadati; Verrucomicrobiota; Verrucomicrobiia; Verrucomicrobiales.
UGCAAGUCGAACGCUAACUAUUCUGUAGCAAUAUAGGAUAGUUGGAGUGGCGCAAGGGUGCGUAACACGUGGGUAAUUUGCCGUGAAGUUGGGGAUAACUCGCUGAAAGGCGAGCUAAUACCGGAUGUGACUUUUGGAAGGCAUCUUCUGAAAUUCAAAGUUGGGGACCGCAAGGCCUGACGCUUCAUGAUAAGCCCGCGGCCUAUCAGCUAGUUGGUGAGGUAACGGCUCACCAAGGCUAAGACGGGUAGCUGGUCUGAGAGGACGACCAGCCUCACUGGAACUGAGACACGGUCCAGACACCUACGGGUGGCAGCAGUCGAGAAUUUUUCACAAUGGGCGAAAGCCUGAUGGAGCGACGCCGCGUGGGGGAUGAAUGGCUUCGGCCCGUAAACCCCUGUCAUUUGCGAACAAACCUUUCCACUUAAUACCUGGAGAGCUGAUAGUAGCGAAAGAGGAAGGGACGGCUAACUCUGUGCCAGCAGCCGCGGUAAUACAGAGGUCCCAAGCGUUGUUCGGAUUCACUGGGCGUAAAGGGUGCGUAGGUGGUGGGGUAAGUUUGAUGUGAAAGCUCCGAGCUCAACUCGGAAAUGGCAUUGAAUACUAUCUCGCUAGAGGUUUGGAGGGGGGACUGGAAUUCUCGGUGUAGCAGUGAAAUGCGUAGAUAUCGAGAGGAACACCAGUGGCGAAGGCGAGUCCCUGGACAACACCUGACACUGAGGCACGAAAGCUAGGGGAGCAAACAGGAUUAGAUACCCUGGUAGUCCUAGCCGUAAACGGUGCGUAUUUGCUGUAAAAGGAAUCGACCCCUUUUGUGGCGUAGCCAACGCGAUAAAUACGCCGCCUGGGAAGUACGGUCGCAAGAUUAAAACUCAAAGAAAUUGACGGGGGCCUGCACAAGCGGUGGAGUAUGUGGCUUAAUUCGAUGC